This 1480-nucleotide long non-coding RNA is filed under the name Mus pahari (shrew mouse). RNAcentral's name for it is "lncRNA (MGP_PahariEiJ_G0012179.1)". The record is from RNAcentral. Lineage: Eukaryota; Metazoa; Chordata; Mammalia; Rodentia; Muridae.
GCGCCCGCCCGCCCCGCAGCCCGCGCCCGCCCGCCCGCCCGCCGCAAGUUUGUUCCCCGCCGCCGCGGCCUGCGCGGAGAGAGGAUCGCGCGCGGGGAGGCGCCGAGGGGCAGCAAGAGUGGAGAAAGUGCGGAAAGAAGCAACAGCCGCUCCACCCGCGGGCGGAAAAGUGGCCGGGCGCGGCGGCGGGAUGCGGCGCGGCUAACGGUCCCCGGCGGCCGCCGGAGCCGCUAGGCGCAGAGGCAGGCUAGCACCUGCGCAGUGGGAGAGAGUCCUUGUCACUGGUGACUCGUGGCAGUAAGCACAAGGAAGAGCAAAGGGAUAGUAUGUCUCGCAAGUGUAGGGCAGGAGCUACAGGAACCAUCCAGGUGCACUGGCUUUGCCUCUGCAUCUUUCUGUGCCUCUGUCUCAUUCUGUUUCCAGCUGUGCAUGGAUGUGGAUGGCCCAGAAAGCAUGGAAAGGGAAUAAACUGGACUGAACUUCCUGCCCACCCUCUGUGACUAACAAGGGCCAUUGUGAUCUCUUUCCAGGUGGCGUGGACUCCUCCAGGGACCAUCUGUCCCUCCCAGCAGCUCCAGAGCCACACUGCCUUGGAAGACCCGACAGACAGAUGUCUCCUCCUUGACCCUUCUUUCUGCCAUGUCUUCAGUAUCUCUGUCUCUCCCAUUCCUACUCCAUUUCUUUUUCCUCUGCCCAUGCAAAAGUGGAUCAGCUGCCUCCUGGGCCCAUAGGGUCCUUUGCAGGCAGCCAACCAAGAGAAAAAGGAGUGGCUCUUGGAAUCACAGACCCAGGCUGGGAAGAGUGCGUGUGAUACAGUGGCCACCCCCUAGAGAGCUGCAGUGAUCCUCUCUGAGCCCUUCAGAAAGUGCUAUGACCAAACAAAGUUCUCAGGGGGCAGCAGCCAUUUCCCAUAGACGGACUAUGACAUGUCCACAUUCACUGCAGAUCAAUUAUGGUGGACCAGAUGAACUGUUAAUAAACCUCUUCUUUGACAAGCCACCUCCAUGGUGGCUAAGAUUUCUGCAGCUUCUGGCGGUGAAGAUCACAUAUCUAUCUAGACCUUCUUCACCUUAAAAUGUGGAGCACUAUGAAUGUGUCUGUUUUACUACUGUUGGCACAGAGUGCGGGUUUUCUCUGGCAUGAAAAUCAGAAGUUGUGACUCUGGGAACCUUCUUACCCUGCCAUGCCAGGCUAUGCAGCUGAGAGGCACAAAGGACAGGCCUUCGAUCAGGGUUUCUGGGACCAGUCUCCUGGCUCUCUUCCUGUCUGUCAGCCCCGGAUGCUAUCCUAAACAACAGCUCUCUACCUUGUGUCUAGCUAGAGAAAGGUUUUCUUUGGUUAUCUUCUUUGGGUAUCAUCUAAUCAAUGAAAUCUUUGUCUAAGGUAAUUGUGCAAGGGUUUUCCAGGAAGCAAUAGUUAAGGAAUGAUUGAUAGAAACGUUUUAGUUAAUUGAAUAUUCUGGCAAAUAAAUGUGACAUUA